Molecule: ribosomal RNA, 492 nt
Filed under: uncultured bacterium
Lineage: Bacteria
Description: partial 16S ribosomal RNA
Rfam family: Bacterial small subunit ribosomal RNA
Source: RNAcentral
AGUGAACGCUGGCGGUAGGCCUAACACAUGCAAGUCGAACGGCAGCACAGUAGGAGCUUGCUCUUACGGGUGGCGAGUGGCGGACGUGUGAGGAAUACAUCGGAAUCUACUUUUUCGUGGGGGAUAACGUAGGGAAACUUACUCUAAUAUCGCAUCCGACCUCCGGGUGAAAGCAGGUGAUCUUCUGACUUUGCGCGAUUGAAUGUGCCGAUGUCGGACUAGUUCUUCGGCGGGGUACAUACCCACCAAGGCGCCGAUCCCUAUCUGGUCUCAGAUAAUGAUCAGCCACACUGGAAGUGAGACACGGUCCAGACUCCUACGGGAGCCAGCAGUGGGGAAUAGUGGACAAUAGGAGCAAGCCUGAUCCAGCCAUACCGCGUGAGUGAAGAAGGCCUUAGGGUUGUAAAGCCCUUUUGUUGGGAAAGAAAAGCAGCAGGUUAAUACCCCGCUGUUCUGACGGUACCCAAAGAACAAGCACCGGCUAACUUCGUG